GGGUUGUGAGGUUAAGCGACUAAGCGUACACGGUGGAUGCCCUGGCAGUCAGAGGCGAUGAAGGACGUGCUAAUCUGCGAUAAGCGUCGGUAAGGUGAUAUGAACCGUUAUAACCGGCGAUUUCCGAAUGGGGAAACCCAGUGUGAUUCGUCACACUAUCAUUAACUGAAUCCAUAGGUUAAUGAGGCGAACCGGGGGAACUGAAACAUCUAAGUACCCCGAGGAAAAGAAAUCAACCGAGAUUCCCCCAGUAGCGGCGAGCGAACGGGGAGCAGCCCAGAGCCUGAAUCAGUGUGUGUGUUAGUGGAAGCGUCUGGAAAGGCGUGCGAUACAGGGUGACAGCCCCGUACACAAAAAUGCACAUGCUGUGAGCUCGAUGAGUAGGGCGGGACACGUGGUAUCCUGUCUGAAUAUGGGGGGACCAUCCUCCAAGGCUAAAUACUCCUGACUGACCGAUAGUGAACCAGUACCGUGAGGGAAAGGCGAAAAGAACCCCGGCGAGGGGAGUGAAAAAGAACCUGAAACCGUGUACGUACAAGCAGUGGGAGCACAGAGCAAUCUGUGUGACUGCGUACCUUUUGUAUAAUGGGUCAGCGACUUAUAUUCUGUAGCAAGGUUAACCGAAUAGGGGAGCCGAAGGGAAACCGAGUCUUAACUGGGCGUUAAGUUGCAGGGUAUAGACCCGAAACCCGGUGAUCUAGCCAUGGGCAGGUUGAAGGUUGGGUAACACUAACUGGAGGACCGAACCGACUAAUGUUGAAAAAUUAGCGGAUGACUUGUGGCUGGGGGUGAAAGGCCAAUCAAACCGGGAGAUAGCUGGUUCUCCCCGAAAGCUAUUUAGGUAGCGCCUCGUGAAUUCAUCUCCGGGGGUAGAGCACUGUUUCGGCAAGGGGGUCAUCCCGACUUACCAACCCGAUGCAAACUGCGAAUACCGGAGAAUGUUAUCACGGGAGACACACGGCGGGUGCUAACGUCCGUCGUGAAGAGGGAAACAACCCAGACCGCCAGCUAAGGUCCCAAAGUCAUGGUUAAGUGGGAAACGAUGUGGGAAGGCCCAGACAGCCAGGAUGUUGGCUUAGAAGCAGCCAUCAUUUAAAGAAAGCGUAAUAGCUCACUGGUCGAGUCGGCCUGCGCGGAAGAUGUAACGGGGCUAAACCAUGCACCGAAGCUGCGGCAGCGACACUAUGUGUUGUUGGGUAGGGGAGCGUUCUGUAAGCCUGCGAAGGUGUGCUGUGAGGCAUGCUGGAGGUAUCAGAAGUGCGAAUGCUGACAUAAGUAACGAUAAAGCGGGUGAAAAGCCCGCUCGCCGGAAGACCAAGGGUUCCUGUCCAACGUUAAUCGGGGCAGGGUGAGUCGACCCCUAAGGCGAGGCCGAAAGGCGUAGUCGAUGGGAAACAGGUUAAUAUUCCUGUACUUGGUGUUACUGCGAAGGGGGGACGGAGAAGGCUAUGUUGGCCGGGCGACGGUUGUCCCGGUUUAAGCGUGUAGGCUGGUUUUCCAGGCAAAUCCGGAAAAUCAAGGCUGAGGCGUGAUGACGAGGCACUACGGUGCUGAAGCAACAAAUGCCCUGCUUCCAGGAAAAGCCUCUAAGCAUCAGGUAACAUCAAAUCGUACCCCAAACCGACACAGGUGGUCAGGUAGAGAAUACCAAGGCGCUUGAGAGAACUCGGGUGAAGGAACUAGGCAAAAUGGUGCCGUAACUUCGGGAGAAGGCACGCUGAUAUGUAGGUGAAGCGACUUGCUCGUGGAGCUGAAAUCAGUCGAAGAUACCAGCUGGCUGCAACUGUUUAUUAAAAACACAGCACUGUGCAAACACGAAAGUGGACGUAUACGGUGUGACGCCUGCCCGGUGCCGGAAGGUUAAUUGAUGGGGUCAGCGCAAGCGAAGCUCUUGAUCGAAGCCCCGGUAAACGGCGGCCGUAACUAUAACGGUCCUAAGGUAGCGAAAUUCCUUGUCGGGUAAGUUCCGACCUGCACGAAUGGCGUAAUGAUGGCCAGGCUGUCUCCACCCGAGACUCAGUGAAAUUGAACUCGCUGUGAAGAUGCAGUGUACCCGCGGCAAGACGGAAAGACCCCGUGAACCUUUACUAUAGCUUGACACUGAACAUUGAGCCUUGAUGUGUAGGAUAGGUGGGAGGCUUUGAAGUGUGGACGCCAGUCUGCAUGGAGCCGACCUUGAAAUACCACCCUUUAAUGUUUGAUGUUCUAACGUUGACCCGUGAUCCGGGUUGCGGACAGUGUCUGGUGGGUAGUUUGACUGGGGCGGUCUCCUCCUAAAGAGUAACGGAGGAGCACGAAGGUUGGCUAAUCCUGGUCGGACAUCAGGAGGUUAGUGCAAUGGCAUAAGCCAGCUUGACUGCGAGCGUGACGGCGCGAGCAGGUGCGAAAGCAGGUCAUAGUGAUCCGGUGGUUCUGAAUGGAAGGGCCAUCGCUCAACGGAUAAAAGGUACUCCGGGGAUAACAGGCUGAUACCGCCCAAGAGUUCAUAUCGACGGCGGUGUUUGGCACCUCGAUGUCGGCUCAUCACAUCCUGGGGCUGAAGUAGGUCCCAAGGGUAUGGCUGUUCGCCAUUUAAAGUGGUACGCGAGCUGGGUUUAGAACGUCGUGAGACAGUUCGGUCCCUAUCUGCCGUGGGCGCUGGAGAACUGAGGGGGGCUGCUCCUAGUACGAGAGGACCGGAGUGGACGCAUCACUGGUGUUCGGGUUGUCAUGCCAAUGGCACUGCCCGGUAGCUAAAUGCGGAAGAGAUAAGUGCUGAAAGCAUCUAAGCACGAAACUUGCCCCGAGAUGAGUUCUCCCUGACUCCUUGAGAGUCCUGAAGGAACGUUGAAGACGACGACGUUGAUAGGCCGGGUGUGUAAGCGCAGCGAUGCGUUGAGCUAACCGGUACUAAUGAACCGUGAGGCUUAACCUUACAACGCCGAAG
Molecule: ribosomal RNA, 2926 nt
Filed under: Escherichia coli
Lineage: Bacteria; Pseudomonadati; Pseudomonadota; Gammaproteobacteria; Enterobacterales; Enterobacteriaceae
Description: 23S ribosomal RNA
Rfam family: Bacterial large subunit ribosomal RNA
Source: RNAcentral